UACGGAGGGUGCGAGCGUUGUCCGGAAUCACUGGGCGUAAAGGGCGCGUAAGCGGCCUGAUAAGUAGGGGGUGAAAUCCUGCGGCUUAACCGCAGGGCUGCCUUCUAAACUGUCAGGCUAGAGCACGGUAGAGGCAGAUGGAAUUCCCGGUGUAGCGGUGGAAUGCGUAGAGAUCGGGAAGAACAUCAGUGGCGAAGGCGGUCUGCUGGGCCGUUGCUGACGCUGAGGCGCGACAGCGUGGGGAGCAAACAGG
RNAcentral lists this ribosomal RNA (253 nucleotides) under uncultured bacterium. Its description in RNAcentral is "partial 16S ribosomal RNA". It matches the Rfam family "Bacterial small subunit ribosomal RNA", at positions 524 to 776 of the family's 1533-position model. The record is from RNAcentral.